RNAcentral lists this ribosomal RNA (484 nucleotides) under uncultured bacterium. RNAcentral's name for it is "partial 16S ribosomal RNA". It matches the Rfam family "Bacterial small subunit ribosomal RNA", at positions 30 to 507 of the family's 1533-position model. The record is from RNAcentral.
AUUGAACGCUGGCGGCAGGCCUAACACAUGCAAGUCGGGCGGAUGAAGGGAGCUUGCUCCUGGAUUCAGCGGCGGACGGGUGAGUAAUGCCUAGGAAUCUGCCUGGUAGUGGGGGAUAACGUCCGGAAACGGGCGCUAAUACCGCAUACGUCCUGAGGGAGAAAGUGGGGGAUCUUCGGACAUCACGCUAUCAGAUGAGCCUAGGUCGGAUUCGCUAGUUGGUGGGGUAAAGGCCUACCACGGCGACGAUCCGUAACUGGUCUGAGCGGAUGAUCAGUCACACUGGAACUGAAACGCGGUCCAGACUCCUACGGGAGGCAGCAGUGGGGAAUAUUGGACAAUGGGCGAAAGCCUGAUCCAGCCAUGCCGCGUGUGUGAAGAAGGUCUUCGGAUUGGAAAGCACUUUAAGUUGGGAGGAAGGGCAGUAAGUUAAUACCUUGCUGUUUUGACGUUACCAACAGAAUAAGCACCGGCUAACUUCGUG